GACGAAGGGGGCUAGCGUUGCUCGGAAUUACUGGGCGUAAGCGCGUGUAGGCGGCUGUUCAAGUUGGGCGUGAAAGCCUUGGGCUUAACCCAAGAAAUGCGCUCAAUACUGGAUAGCUAGAGGACCGGAGAGGAUAGUGGAAUUCCCAGUGUAGUGGUGAAAUACGUAGAGAUUGGGAAGAACACCAGUGGCGAAGGCGGCUAUCUGGACGGUUUCUGACGCUAAGACGCGAAAGCGUGGGGAGCAAACAGG
This 252-nucleotide ribosomal RNA is filed under the name uncultured bacterium. RNAcentral describes it as "partial 16S ribosomal RNA". It matches the Rfam family "Bacterial small subunit ribosomal RNA", at positions 524 to 776 of the family's 1533-position model. The record is from RNAcentral.